This 432-nucleotide ribosomal RNA is filed under the name uncultured bacterium. RNAcentral describes it as "bacterial SSU rRNA". It matches the Rfam family "Bacterial small subunit ribosomal RNA", at positions 29 to 507 of the family's 1533-position model. The record is from RNAcentral.
AACGAACGCUGGCGGCAUGCCUAACACAUGCAAGUCGAACGAAGGCUUCGGCCUUAGUGGCGCACGGGUGCGUAACGCGUGGGAACCUGCCCCUCGGUUCGGAAUAACAGUUAGAAAUGACUGCUAAUACCGGAUGAUGACUUCGGUCCAAAGAUUUAUCGCCGAGGGAUGGGCCCGCGUAGGAUUAGCUAGUUGGUGGGGUAAAGGCCUACCAAGGCGACGAUCCUUAGCUGGUCUGAGAGGAUGAUCAGCCACACUGGGACUGAGACACGGCCCAGACUCCUACGGGAGGCAGCAGUGGGAAAUAUUGGACAAUGGGCGAAAGCCUGAUCCAGCAAUGCCGCGUGAGUGAUGAAGGCCUUAGGGUUGUAAAGCUCUUUACCAGGGAUGAUAAUGACAGUACCUGGAGAAUAAGCUCCGGCUAACUCCGUG